Hemibagrus wyckioides is the source of this 11124-nucleotide long non-coding RNA. RefSeq lists it as uncharacterized. NCBI's taxonomy places the organism in Eukaryota, Metazoa, Chordata, Actinopteri, Siluriformes, Bagridae. The transcript has 11 exons. The record is from RefSeq and is a predicted model, not a curated record.
AUAAUAUAGAUGAAACAUCAGACACAAUUGGGCUAAUAGGUAUCACUAGAUCAAUAAUGCGACACAAAUCUUGCGUAAAACGCCAACCCUUACCAUUAGGUUUCCUUACUGGGCUGAUAGGUUUAUUGUAUGGUGAACAGGUUUAAUAACACCGUGCUCGAGCAGUAAAACAAUGACAGACUGAAUAUCUAUGUGUCUGUCUGUCUGUCUGUCUGUACAUGAGCUACUUCAUUGGAGUAUGUGGCCCACAAUUUGGAUGGGACCUCAGAGUUUGUCAGGUAUUUUCAGGUCAUGUGGGGUCUCGGUCGUGUCAGAUGUACACAUAACAGAAGAAAAACAGAGAUUAGUCGGAGUACUGAGAACAAGAUGUCCUCCUUCAACUUAGCCAAAAUGUCAUGACCCAACAGAUUGAAUAGUGAAGAUGGAAUGACAACGGAUCUUUGAUUAAAAGAGAAUUUCAGGAUCAUCAGGACUAGUAGUUUUGAGUGAGAAAGUUUUAGGACAGGUGACAGGAACCCCAUCUAUUCCCACAGAGUUGAUACAAGAGUUUGUUACUGGCCCAUUGUACAGUUUUACAAAUAAGGUGCAUGUAGCACCUGUGUCAACCAAAAAAAGGGUAAAUGGACACCUUCAACACAUAGAUUUAUAAUUGGUAAUGAAUUUGGAUCAGAAGUACAAGGAACAGCAGAAGGGGUUCCUUCACUCUGUGGGCAGCACUAUUGAUGUUGAAAUUGCCACUGAUGAGUGUUACUCUGAAAAUUCUGUAUCUCAUCCUGUGUGUGUGUGUGUGUGUGUGUGUGUGUGUGUGUGUGUGAGGUGAAUACUUGGUUACACCUUUUCUAAGGUCAUGUUGUUUCUUUCUAUAUUCCGUUCCCCAGUGACCAGGAAUGUGGCAAUAAUUCCAGGCUUUCUGUUUCGAUGGCUGCGCUGGUGAGAUUGUAGGUGAAAUUUUCCCAGUAAGAUCUUUUUACACUGUUUCUGAGAAACACUUCUAACACUGAACUGAGACAAGGUGCAUACUUCAUUCUGAUAUGGAAGAUGUUUCAUGGAGGAUUUACUCAGGAGGGCUAAAGUGAUGUGACCUAACUGACCUGCUAAUCUAGAUAAGAUAAAAAAAAAAGUGUUCAUCUGUUUGUCCUGCUGUCUUGGUCAGGGUCAGUCAUUAUAUUUAUAUAUAUCCCACCAAAUGGGAUGCAGCUAAGGUCACUUUAAGAGGUCACAUUAUCUCUUUUAAUACCUGGAUAAAAAAUUGGAACAAGAGGUCAAAAGAUUGGAAUUGCUUCAUAAAAUUUCAUCCACACAAAACAACUGGAAUCUUUUUGAUUCAAGAAUAUUUUUAUUGAUUUUUAAACAGAGACAGAACAUACAAGGUAAACGUGUAGUGUGUGUUUUACUUGGAUUAUCUGGAUUUAUAAACCCCUUACACACACCCCUAUACCCCCCACCCCAGGGGGCAAACAAGACAUAAUAUCUCUAAGCCACUGGGCGUGGCUGGGUGAGGUGGCAUCCUUCCACUUAAGUAAAAGAAAACACCUGGCCAGGAGGGAUGCAAAGGACAAUAAUCGACGUUUAGCUGGGGUUAGACGCCCAUUAUCCUCUCCAGUAGAGCCAAAAAGAACACCCAGCGGGUCUGGAUCAAGAUCGCAAUUCAGACAGGGUUUGAAAGACAUCCCUCCAGAACUUUUAGGGCAUGUCCAGUACAUAUGAAAGAGAGACUCCUCUCCACUUUUACAUUUAUUACAGCAGGGAUCCACAUCUGGGUAGAAGUGAGAAAGUUUAACUUCGGACAAAUGAGCCCUAUGUACAACCUUAAACUGUAAUAAAGAGUGGUGGGGACAUGAGGUUGAGAUGACGAGCUUGAGGAUCGAGUUCCACGGGUCAUCUGACAGUGUCAGAUUUAGGUCUUUUUCCCAAGCAGUUUUAAUUUUACUCAAAGUGGUGUAACUCAAACCCAUUAAUAUGCCAUAAAUAGUGGAUAUUAGGCCUUUACACAGUGGAGACAGACAGAGGAGAUUAUCUAUAAUAUUUGCAUCAGGAGCCUUCGGGAAGUUUGGUAUCAAAGCUAAUGUCUUAUUAGCUGAUUAUCUGAAAAAGUGAGAUUUGGAUAAAUUAAAGCUUUCAGACAGCUGUUCAAACGAUGCAAACUUAUAAUCAAUAAAAAGAUCUUUGCAAAGCUUGAUGCCCUUACUGUGCCAUUCAUGAAAUACUGGAUCAUGUAAAGAAGGUUGAAAGAGAUGUUUAGAGACAAUAGGACUGGUCAGAGAAAAGCGAAAGGACCGCUGUGCUUUCUGAACUGAGCCACUCUCUCAGAGUAUGUCUAAUAACUGAAUUAUUGAUUGAUUUAAUUGAAAGGAUGGGGAGUGCAGGUCCAAGAAGUGCAGAGACAGAGAGGCUUCUGACAUUUCCACCCAGGCAGGCCGAUUAGGUUGGUUAAGAAAUUUAAAUAAAAAAUAAAACUAGAAUAUAGAAUAUAAUAAAUAGUAUUUAAAUAAAAAUGUAAAACGAAUCUAAAAUAUUAGAAAAAUAAUUUAAAUAAAUGUUAAACUAGAAUAUAAAAUUUUAGAAAUAGAAUUUAAAUAAAAACGUAAAACUAGAAUAUAAAUUUUUAGAAAUAGAAUUUAAAUAAAAAUAUAAAACUAGAAUAUAGUGCUACAUCCCGUUUGUAUUACUUCUGUGUUUUCUUUUGUUUUGGGAGAUGUUUGUGUCUUCUGUCCAGGAAGAAGCCUAAUUGGUUCCAGUCUACUUGGUGCCAUGCCCUUCCUAGUCAGCUGACCCCUUAUGGCCUAUAAGAAGACUCCAUCAUCACGUCCUGCUUCCUUUCUACUACCAGCAGACCUAUUGUGUCAUAGCAGCUAUCAGAUUGUAUUCAUUUUCCCUAUUGCUUUGCACAGCUGAUGACCCAGCAGAGGAAAUACUCCGAAGCAGAUAUUUGUGUGUUUUGGCAAUUUCAACCUAAGCCUGUCUGCUGAGGAGGGUGCAGAUGAUGGGAACACCACAGUGAAUGUAACACAACCGGAUUCUGUAGAGGAGAUGGAGCAGGUGCCACGAAAAACCUACCCGCUGUGCAAGAGAAACAAAACAGUUCAGUCAAAUCAGCAAAGACCAGUGAAUUGUUUUAACGAUUUUUCAGUGCUUUUACACUUUUAGUCCUCCUUUAAUUUGUUUAAAAACAAAUGAUCUCUUCCAAUGAGCAUGAGACAGAUGAUUAGGGGUCAAGUGUUUAAUGUGAAAUCUUUCAUUAAGAGAACCAAGUUUCAGUGCUUCCACACAUACUAGAAUCUUUUGAUCCAAAAUUAGAUAAAUUUAUCUAAACAUAUGGUGAGCUCCUCUAAAGAUGACUUGGCAGAUGACUGGAACCCACACAGGACUCUUCAGAGGACGAUUCAGAAAUGGAGGAGGAUCCAGUGAGACAGAGGGUCACAAAAGUGGUUAAGAAAAAGAGAGCUCUUGGCCCUAUUCCACAAAGACAGUUGUAUGUAUGGUGACCUCAAAUGAAGCUGAUCAGCUUCAGAAGGGGAGGAGAAUCAAGAGACACAAAUGAUUAUGAAGGAGGCUGAGAACAAAAUGGUUGCCAGCCCUGUCCUGCAGAGAGAGGAUAAGAAAACUUUGCUGAGCCCAUCUCCAUGUCUCCAACUGAAAACAGUCAUUGUUCAAGUGAAUCGUGUCGCUCUCAAAGGGGUAAAUAUGAUCGACAAGAAUCAAAGGAUUUCAGUUAAAGUUCCUCCUGGUAUGCAGCAGGCCAACAUAAGCCCAGGAACAGCAAGUAUCCUGAAAAUUCAUUCAUCAAAAAUUCCAUCAGUCAAGUCUCUUUCAAGUCACCUUACCAAUAUCUGGUAACAACCAAAGACAUCAGGUUGGUUCCCCCUCUGCACUGAUGGUCAUCUCAGGAUCCAUGGGUGAAGCAGGACAAGGAAGAGAAGCAGAGAUUUAGGAUGAGGCUUUGGAGAAGGAGGGGAGUGAAGGUAAAGAAGGACAAAGAGGAGAAGCAGAGGUACAGGAGGAGGCUUUGGAAAAGAUGAGUGACUUUAAACUUUAUUGGACUGAAAGUAAAGAACAGAAGAGGAUUAAUGACACAGGAGAAGGCUUUACAGAAGGACUGAGAACUCAUUGGAGAAUAAAUUGUGUGUGAUGAAAAAAGAACGUAAAUAGAAAAAGAAAGAGAGCUCUUAGCAUGCCACCCCAGAUAUGUCUGCUCCUUCAAACUCUUCUAGUGAGGCUCACAGUGAGCAUGCCAUCCUAAAUAGGCCUUCUCCUUCUCACUCUGCCAACAUGGCUCACAAUGAGCAUGCCACCUCAGAUAAGCAUUCUCACUCUGUCAGAGUGAAAACUGGCAAUACUAAAAAGAAAGCGUCCUUUGCUGAGGGACACUUCCCCUGGCUGCAGGAACUGCCGGGUUAUGUUUGCUGGACUUAAGGUGGUGAAGCAGCUGCUCCAGUGUGAAACUGAAAGGAAUGAUGAGCUCAAGCAACUGCAUUCUUCAACAAAUCAUACAAUUGUGUGAUUUCUGAUACAUACAAUGUGAAAAUUUUCUUUUGAUAAACAGAUCUGCUUUACAUACUUUUUAUUUCAGACAGUUAAAUAUGGACGAAGGAAACCUUUUUUACCAGGUAAAGCCCCUCACUAUGGUGUGUGUAUAUAUAACACUCCUUUAAAAAAAAUUACUACCAAAUUUGAAGGAUAGGUGACAUUGUAUUAUUCGGCAGAUUGUAGAACUCUCUCAGACAAAAUGAUUUAGGAUUUUAGGCUAUUAAAAUUAUAUUUACUUUGAUUUAUAUUUGUGUCUUUUCAGUAAGGCUAGUUGAGUUUAGAGGCCAUGUAGAAGGCGUGAACCCAUGCAGGAAAGCCCAAGAAAAUGCCAAGCAGCGAGCCACUCGUAUCUAUUUUUCUGGAAUUUAUGGCAGACUCAGCAAUUCCAAAUGUUGUUGAUCAUCUUUUCCUUACAAACCAUAGCAGAGUCCGUGUGUAAGUACUAAAUUGUAGCGUCUGCAAGUAACUGUAAAGAUUGUCCGUGUCAAAUAGAGUAGGAGACAUGGCCUAAUUUGUAUUUUUGACUUUACAGUCUUGUUGCACACCUCCAAGAAAGAGUUUAAACCAACAACCCAGAGAUAUUUGAUGUAUCUUGUGGCUUUCAUGAAAUACAUUUUGAACGUCACCACCAUCUGUCAGACUCGGAGCUAAAAGGAUCAACGAUCUCUUGGUUGAAUCGAGGGUUCGUCUCCGAGUUAUUGGGCGGGAUGGAGUUGGGCACCAGCUCAGAGUGCACCAAUCAAAGUCUCGUAAGUUUGAGAUACCUCCAUUGCUUAACACCACAUAAAUGGAGAAACACGAAGGUCACACUUCCGGGCGAAGUAAGAGAGAGCAGCAGAGACGAGAACUUCCAACCACACUUCCUCUAAACACAUUUAAGCGUCCUUCUUUUCUCUUUUUUUUUCUUGUCGAAUUGUGUUGCAACACAAAAGAUAAGUAUUAUACUUUGUUCAGAACGCGUAAUGAGCAACCCCAAACAAAAGCAAAGUACUGCGCCAGCAACACAUUCAGGUGCUUUCCUUGUGGGAAAGCUAGCAGCCAUGGCUGCUAAUGAUGAUAACACUAGCAACAAGGAUACACCUAAAAAAGACAACACGGAUAACUUGUCUGAGUCAGCUAGUCUCCAAACUGGCAAAACCGCGUGCCAGUUUAAAAGAAGACAUGGCAAGUUUAAUUCAAGAUUCCAUCAAGCCGCUACAAGCCUCCCUUGAUAAGCUCCGUGAGACUUUCAGCUCGUUUCAAAACCACCUUGCAUCUACUGAAGUACUGGUGGGCGAAAACUUCGAAAAGCUAGCUGCCGCGGAAGCGAGGAAUAAAUCCUUGAAGGCACAGAAUUCAUCCCUUCUUGACCUAAUUGAUGACCUUAAGAACAGAUCCAGAAGGGCUAACCUGCAUAUUAUCAAUAUUCCGGAAGGCUCUGAGGACGGAAAAGACUCCACCGAGUUUAUAUCUGGGCUACUUAAAGAUACCAUGGAGAACGUAUUUGAAACACCACCUGUUCUCAAACGAGCGCAUUGCGCGCUUCGCCCCAAACCUGGAGCAGGGCAAUCUCCGAGACCAUUCAUCGUCUGCAUCCACCGUUUUUCAGAAAAGGAAAAAGCAGCUCACUGGGCUAGGUGACAUGAUGUAAAAUUCAACGGAGUUUCCCUGAGGUUAUAGCCGGACACGAGGGCGGCUCUAGCGAAAAAAUCAUGCCAGUUUCAAAGUCAAACAAAACCUUUAUCAGAAAGGCAUAAAGUUUCAGCUUCUGUACCCUGCACGUUUCCAUGUGAGAUUCGGAGACGAAGCUGCCGAGGCUUUUUACAAACAACGCAUCCUUGUACGGGACUAAAGUCCGGCUCUGGCUGUAACAACUUAACAGAUAAGUUAUGUCACAAACAACUGUCUCGAGGCCACAAGGUGACUAUUUACCUUUUUUUAUUGCAAUGCUAUCCAAGACAUCAAGAAAAGAUGUUCCUUUUUUUUAUGUUCAUUGCCUUAAAGCAUAUUUAAUAUAAAGUUUUUAAGAUGCUAAAUUGUUCUGUGUAAAUAUUGUGGUUUGGGGUAUCUCAAUAUGGGAGAGAGGAAAAGUCUGGAAAAUCGGGAGCCAAGUAAGCUUGCUGGGGAUGCAAGCAUAGGGAAAAUUUGGGAAAGGUUGGGAACUUUGGUUGUGUUACAUUUAUCAAAAAAGUGUUGGGAAAUUUUUGUUUUAUGUUAUGUUUUUUUUCAAGAAUUUAAUAGUGAGGAAACAUGUAUGUUGCUGUUGGCAUUUUUGUUUUGUUUGCCUGCUUAAUUUUAUAUUAGCCCAUGUCAGAUAUGGCCGAUUUCUCAAAAAAUCCUGGGGGAUCGAAAGUUUGAUUUAUUAGUUGGAAUGUCAAAGGCCUAAAAGGCCCAACCAAAAGGGGCAGAAUUUUUACUCAUUUAAAAAAAUUAAAAUCUGAAAUAUAUUUACAGGAAGCCCACCUACACAUUGCUGAUUAUCUCAGAAUAAAGAAAUCAUGGGUGGGACAAAUUUUCAAAGGCAAGGGGCACUGCCAUAUUGAUACAUAAAAGCAUUCAAUUUACUGCCUCUGCUUCUAUUGCAGAUCCCCAGGGAAGAUGCGUUAUAGUCUCUGGGAUGUUAUUCCAUGUCCCUGUUCUUCUAGUUAAUGUAUAUGCUCCUAACUUGGAUGAUGUGAGUUUUAUUAACAAGCUUGUUUCUUCAUUGCCAGACUUAAAUUCCUAUCUUAUGAUUUUUGGUGGUGACAUGAAAUGUGUUAUGGACCCAUCCCUAACCCCAAACCUUUAUCCCAUCUUAAAACGGCACAAGCCUUGUCUACAUUCAUAGACCAAGUGGGGGCUGCUGAUCCUUGGCGUUUUCUAUGUCCACAUAGCAGAGUAUAUUCCUAUUUUUCACAUUCAUCAUACCUAUUCAAGACAGAGUUGAUGCCAGAAGACGCAAUUUGUUCAUUGAAGUGGAACCUGAGAAUAUUUCUACAGCACUUGAUGACCUUGAGAAGCAACCAGAAAACCGAGCUAUGCUGAAAUAGUUUUUUGGAAUUCUGUCUGGAUACAUCAUUGUAAUAACUGGCCAGUGAAAGGGUGUCGUCAUUAAUAUGGCUACCGAAGAGGUUGAGACAGAAGAAAAAGCUAAGGAUGCUGCCCGCAUCAUUCGUUCUAACAGGCCAAGCAGCAACUUGGACAUAAAGCCUACAGGUUAAUAAGCUGAUGACCCAGCAGAGGAAAUACUCCGAAGCAGAUAUUUGUGUGUUUUGGCAAUUUCAACCUAAGCCUGUCUGCUGAGGAGGGUGCAGAUGAUGGGAACACCACAGUGAAUGUAACACAACCGGAUUCUGUAGAGGAGAUGGAGCAGGUGCCACGAAAAACCUACCAGCUGUGCAAGAGAAACAAAACAGUUCAGUCAAAUCAGCAAAAUCAGACCAGUGAAUUGUUUAACAAACCAAGUUUCACUGCUUCCACACAUACUAGAAUUCUCUUCAUAUGCGUAUUCGUUGGCGAGUCGCGAUGGCCUGGAGGCUGCUGUUAUCUGCUGGAUCCAUGAGCGGUGAAGUAUUCUGUAAUGACUCGAGAGAUAUGGAUCCAAGAUCCUCCACCUCGGGCAAGUUAGCAGUUAUUAAGCCUCUUCUUAAGAAACCUAAACUAGACCCUAAUGAAUUAUCAAAUUACAGACUGGUUUCAAGCCUUCCAUUUAUAUAAAAAAAUAUUAGGAAAGGUGUUAGCUCAAUUAUGUUCCUUCUUACAGGAAAACAAUAUCCUUGAAGAAUUUCAGUCAGGUUUCAGGCCCCAUUAUAGCACAAACUGCACUAGUUAAAAUCACAAAUGACUUGUUUUUAGCUUCGGACCAAGGCUGCAUCCUCCAUGUUAGUCCUGCUUGAUCUUAGUGCUGCAUUCCACACUAUAGAUCAUAACAUUCUCAUAGAUUGCUUACAAAAUCACACAGGUAUGCAGGGACAGGCAUUUUGUAGAUUUAAAUGGAAAACUGUCCAGUGUAGUCCCAGUGAAAUACGGGGUCCCACAAGGAUCAGUUUUAGGACCUCUGCUGUUCUGUUUACAUGCUUCCAUUGGGUAACAUCAUUAGAAGGCAUGGGAUUAGUUUCCAUUUGUUAUGCCGAUGAUACCCAAUCAUAUCUCAUCAAAACCAGAUGAAAUAUCUAAAGAUCUAGAUUAACUGAGUGUGUUAAAGAUAUUAAAGAUAUUAAAGUUUUGUAAAAACCCAGGAGAGUUCCUUCCUUGGUGGUGCUAGAACUCAGAAGAGGGCUCCCUCUGGCAAUCAGACGGGAGCAUAGCCUGACAAGAUGUUACAGCCAGGGUACAUAGAGGGGUACAGAGGUAAAAAGGUUGAAGACCCCUGCCCAGAAAUGUACUGGGGAAAAGGACAAAAUGUCUCUAAAAAAACAAGUAUGCGCGCGCACACUGAACAUGAGAAGUCCUCAUAAAGGAGCUGUUUAAUGAAAGUUUCUUCUCACUUGCAUUCUCUAGCUCAUCACAUUUCAAGUGAUUUUCACAGAGCUGGUUCCCCAUGUUCUCCACUGUGUCUCGCAGUGUCUUCACCUGGUCUGUCAGGUCAGACUUCUCCUCCUCCAGCUUAGUGAUGGUCUCCACAACCUUCUGGUGUUUCUCCUCAGUUUCAGACAGGGAGACCUGAAAACAACAACAAUUAGUGCUUAUUGUCUUUAUUUCCUUUUACACACACAUUCAGAUAUUUUAAAUACUGACUCAUUACUCAUGAGAAUAUCUUCAGCUUCACAACAUCAGUCGUAGCUUCAUGAGAAGAAUAUUUCCCUUCAGUAACUUUUCAUAGUUUGUCAGAUUCUCCAUCAUUCUAUGGAACUCGGACUUCAGAUCCCCGUCUUGCAGUGCCUUCACCUGGUGUAUCAGGUCAAACUUCUCCUUCUCCAGCUGAGUGAUGACCUUCAUAGCCUCCUGCUGUUUCCACACAGAUGUAGUAAUAAGUAGGAUAUUUUAACUACUUCAGUCAUCUCAAGUACAUUUGUAAGACAUUUCCCCCACUGGCAAUAGGAAAACUUUUAUCUUCCUUCUUCUGAGUUGGCAGAUUGAAAAGGGAAGUCCUGUAAUCAACACUGAGGGAAAGACCCUCAUGACCCCAGACAUGUCAAAAGCUGCAUUUAAAACAAUUCACAGAAAAAAAUGUAAAAUCAGUAUCAUCUUGUUCAGAGUGAUCUGUGAAACGUGCCCAUUGUUGUGAAUGCAUGUCGUCUUUCUUUUGGUGAAUCACAUUUUUCUGACAGGAGUGCUAAACUUAUGCUUUAGGUGCAUGUUUAAAUUGCUCCACAUUUACUAGAAGGACUCUUCAAUGACUGACAAAGACAGGUACAAAAGGGCUGAUAUUUAGGAGAGAACAUUAGGGUAAAUGGGGAACAGGUGAGAUGGCGGGAAAGCAGAACAAUAGGAGGGGUGUGGCACAAAACACGUGGGGAAUACAAAAAAAGCAGGCUAUGAUGAAUCACCUGCGAGCACACCCUCUGGUGGUCUGGCAGGGAACUGUCCCCGUAGUUCCUGACAAGAUGAGUGCUUGCUUUCUCGUUGUAGUGUUUAUUUCGGAUGGUAAGGAACAGGAGAUUGUAAUUUUAUGUGACACUGGAGCAGAUCAGUCUUUUAUUUGUGGCGGUUUACUUCCUCUAUCAGAACAAACAUUUAGAGAAUCUUAUGCUCUUUGCCAGGGCUUAGAGAUGAGGUAUGUCCACGUUCCCUUAAAUUAUGUAUCUCUGAAGUCUGGUGUUGUGACUGGUGCUGUUAAGGUUGGAGUUCAGCCAGUUUUACCAGUUACUGGGGUAGAAUUAAUUCUAGGUAAUGACCUAGCUGGUGGGAAAGUUGUUCCAGUAGUGGAAGUAUCUAAAGUCUGUGAGGAAUGAUCUGGCAGAGAAGCUUCCAGAGGUUUUUAUUUCAUGUGUUGUAACACAGUCCAAGGCAAAAUAUUCUAGUGAUGUUUUGGAUCUUUCUGACUUAUUUUUAACACAAGAAACCCCUGUGAAAUUGGUUAAACCAGAUGUUAAAACGCAGCUGCUUACAGGCCUGCCUUUGUCUAGUAAACGUCUUACUAGAAAUGAAUUAAUUUCUGCACAACACUGUGACGAGAGUUUACGGUCCUUCUUUACUGCUGUACCUGACAUGAAUGAAGUGGACAAGAAACAAGUGGCUUUCUUUCUAGAUGACGGUUUGUUGAUUCAUAAGUGGACUAAAUGAGAUUAAGGAUGCUGUUUUUCAGAAGCCUGUGGUUCCUUUAAGGUAUCGACACUUGGUUCUGAGUGUAGCCCAUGAUCAUCUCUGGUCUGGACACUUGGGGAUCACCAAAACAUAUAUAAUCAAAUGUUGAAACAUUUUUUCUGGCCACAGUUACACGUAGUUAAUACAUAGUUAAAUAUUGUGCUUCAUGCAAGACGUGUCAAAAGGGAGGAAAACCAAACCAGGUGAUUCCUCCUGCCCCCUUACACCCUAUUCCUGUGAUGGGAGAACCUUUUUUAAAAGUUGUUGGUAGACUGUGUAGGUCCUUUGCCCAAAACAAAAGCAGGAAAUCAGUUUUACUCACUACUACAGUGAGGGGGAAAAAAUGAUUUGAUCCCCUGCUGAUUUUGUACGUUUGCCCACUGACAAAGAAAU